GGAAGUAAACGGCGGCGACAGGCGGCUGCGCGUCGCCGCGGCGACAUGACGUCAGUUAGGCACCCGAUCGACAAGUUGUCGCUGCAGCGAAUCCACCCACGAAGGGCAGCGGCGCGACCCAGAACAUACUGUGAAAGGAAGACAUACUUGGCUUAUGACUCCAGAGUCGAGCAUCCAUUCCCAUGGUAUCUUAAGGUCCUUAUAUCUUCCGCUUGCACUGUCCCUUACUCGCUCAGUGUUAUGAAUACCUUGUUCAAUUCUACAACAAGGGAAAGCACAAUUAGGUGUGGCCACUCUCCUGUCAUCAUGGAAGGAUGAUGCUUCCGACUCUAUGUUCUUCAGAUCGCGGUAGUUGAAUGCUGCUUCUCUCAAGGCAUCUGCUUUCUUCUCGGGCCAGUUGGGGAAUUGUUUUAGCACUGCUCUUUCAUCCACAAGCCAUGUGCAGGUAACUAAAUCGACGUACGGGAUGGCCUAAGAUGAUAGAGCUCCUUUACCAGCCAGAGCGAGGGGAGACACCUUUUGCUAAUAACGGGCAAGUAAAAGUUUUAAAUAAUAGGAAGAAAAAGAAACGAAGGGAAAGCUGACAAAACAGAGAAUAAAAUGGUUAAAUCCUAUGUGUUUUACUUCUGGCAUGUGCUUAGUAUUCGUUUGCCUUU
Zea mays is the source of this 656-nucleotide RNA transcript. RefSeq lists it as uncharacterized. The transcript is spliced from 4 exons. The record is from RefSeq and is marked validated. NCBI's taxonomy places the organism in Eukaryota, Viridiplantae, Streptophyta, Magnoliopsida, Poales, Poaceae.